GCCUUCGUAGCUCAGUUGGUAGAGCAGCUCGCUCUUAACGAGACGGUCGCAGGUUCGAAUCCUGCCGGGGGCA
Candidatus Lloydbacteria bacterium is the source of this 73-nucleotide non-coding RNA. Lineage: Bacteria; Candidatus Lloydiibacteriota. The record is from Rfam.